Molecule: ribosomal RNA, 253 nt
Filed under: uncultured bacterium
Lineage: Bacteria
Description: partial 16S ribosomal RNA
Rfam family: Bacterial small subunit ribosomal RNA
Source: RNAcentral
UACGUAGGUGGCAAGCGUUGUCCGGAUUUAUUGGGGUUAAAGGGUGCGUAGGCGGUCUUCUAAGUCAGUUGUGAAAUACCUCAGCUUAACUGGAGAGGUGCAAUUGAUACUGGAAGACUUGAGUACUGAUGAGGUAGGCGGAAUGGACGGUGUAGCGGUGAAAUGCUUAGAUAUCGUCCAGAACACCGAUAGCGAAGGCAGCUUACUAAGGAGUAACUGACGCUGAGGCACGAAAGUGUGGGGAUCAAACAGG